Molecule: ribosomal RNA, 825 nt
Filed under: uncultured bacterium
Lineage: Bacteria
Description: bacterial SSU rRNA
Rfam family: Bacterial small subunit ribosomal RNA
Source: RNAcentral
AGCGCACUUCGGUGCGUGGAAAGUGGCAGACGGGUUAGUAACGCGUGGGAACGUACCUAUCGGUUCGGAAUAGCUCAGGGAAACUUGAAUUAAAACCGGAUACGCCCCCCAUUUAGAGAUAUUUGGGGGGGAAAGUUUACGCCGAUAGAUCGGCCCGCGUUAGAUUAGCUUGUUGGUGCGGUAAAAGCGCACCAAGGCUACGAUCUAUAGCUGGUCUGAGAGGAUGAUCAGCAACACUGGGACUGAGACACGGCCCAGACUCCUACGGGAGGCAGCAGUGGGGAAUAUUGGACAAUGGGCGCAAGCCUGAUCCAGCCAUGCCGCGUGGAUGAAGAAGGCCCUAGGGUUGUAAAAUCCUUUCAACGGUGAAGAUAAUGACGGUAACCGUAGAAGAAGCCCCGGCUAAUUUCGUGCCAGCAGCCGCGGUAAUACGAAAGGGGCUAGCGUUGUUCGGAAUUACUGGGCGUAAAGCGCACGUAGGCGGCAAUGUAAGUUGGGGGUGAAAUCCCGGGGCUCAACCCCGGAACUGCCUCCAAAACUACAUAGCUAGAGGAUGUGAGAGGUUGGCGGAAUUCCGAGUGUAGAGGUGAAAUUCGUAGAUAUUCGGAAGAACACCAGUGGCGAAGGCGGCCAACUGGCACAUUACUGACGCUGAGGUGCGAAAGCGUGGGGAGCGAACAGGAUUAGAUACCCUGGUAGUCCACGCCGUAAACGAUGAGGGCUAGUUGUCGGGCAGCAUGCUGUUCGGUGACGCAGCUAACGCAUUAAGCCCUCCGCCUGGGGAGUACGGUCGCAAGAUUAAAACUCAAAGGAAUUGACGGGGGC